RNAcentral lists this long non-coding RNA (4217 nucleotides) under Volvox carteri. RNAcentral's name for it is "long non-coding RNA (VCAR_LNC003264)". Lineage: Eukaryota; Viridiplantae; Chlorophyta; Chlorophyceae; Chlamydomonadales; Volvocaceae. The record is from RNAcentral.
UAAGGUUUAAUUAGCAAAGAUUCUCUCCUGCUGUGUUCAAGCAUGACAAGUUAAGUCACCAGCUCGCACCGUCCCACAGGCACAGCAUUGUUGAUGUAACUAGCUAAAACAUGUGGGAGGUGCAUUAGUCUCAACCGCAGGCGCGGCGGCGGCCAUACUCCACCCCCUUUCUUUGCACUGGUGCCGAUAUGCAUGUGACCGACUACCAAACCAGUUGGCACAGUUGGUGCAGUGAAAAGGCUGGGAGGAGUCCGGAGCUACAUCCGGUCUGUAAAUGAUCUUUCGUGGUUUGGAUGCCACCUCCAGCGCAUUCAAUGACAUGGCAAACUGGCUAAUGUGACCAGUAAGAAUGAUCACAAUGUGUAGGAAUACCAGAACAUUCACGUUUGUAUCAAUCGUCGAGCUUCUAAUGCUUCUACACAAGCAAGCAUUUGGUCCCGCCAUGACAAAAGAGCAUCCUAUUCUAUGGCAGGUUCUGGCAAGGAUUUAAAUGAUGCAAUCAACAAAGUUCGGUAGCCACGAAACAACUUCCCAAUAUUGAAUUUGCAGCCAUGUGAACUUUAUACCAUGCUGUACACUUCCGGACACUUUCCCCUCUUGCUGCCCAGAAGUCAAGUGAACGUGGACAAUUUGCAACACCAAUAAGAAACGUCACUGCGUUUAGCACUAUGUGAUUGCUGUGCAAAUUGCACCAUCUGGUACCUCCCAGCCCCACCUUCGUCGCUGCCGCUGCUACUCCGUUGCUAAUUCCCCCCGCCGCCGUGCCUGCUGUUGAGACUAAUAGCCCUCCCAGCCCCACCUUCAUCGCUGCCGCUGCUACUCCGUUGCUAUCUCCCGCCGCCGCCGCACCUCCUGUUCAGAUUAAUGCAUCUCCCAGCCCCACCGCCGUCGCUGCCGUUGCUACUCCGUUGCUAAUUCCCGCCGCCGCCGCGCCUGCCGUUUAGGCUACUGCACCUCCCAGCCCCAACACCGUCGCUGCCGCUGCUGCUGCAUUGCUAUUUCCUGCCACCGCCGUGCCUGCCAUUUAGGCUACUGCACCUCCCAGCCCCAACGCAGUCGCUGCCGCUGCUACUCCGUUGCUAAUUCCCCCAGCCGCCACGCCUGCUGCUCUUGCUAUUUCCCCCACCACCAUGCCUGCCGUUAAGGAUACUGCACCUUCCAACCCCACCUUCAUCGCUGCCACUGCUGCUGCGUUGCUAAUUCCCGCCGCCGCCGCGCCUGCCGUUUAGGCUACUGCACCUCCAACCCCACCGCCGUCGCUGCCACUGCUGCUGCGUUGCUAAUUCCCACCGCCGCCACGCCUGCCGUUUAGGCUACUGCACCUCCCAGCCCCACUGCCGUCGCUGCCACUGCUNNNNNNNNNNNNNNNNNNNNNNNNNNNNNNNNNNNNNNNNNNNNNNNNNNNNNNNNNNNNNNNNNNNNNNNNNNNNNNNNNNNNNNNNNNNNNNNNNNNNNNNNNNNNNNNNNNNNNNNNNNNNNNNNNNNNNNNNNNNNCCGGACGCCAAGCGUCAGAGGCUGGACACGGCUGCGUCCCAGAGCAGCACGUCGACGGUCGGCCCUCCCGCCGUCGCCACGUAAGCGAGCUGCUACAUGCAAAGAGCGUGUUCACACCAGUAAGGUACUUACGCUCCGCCUCUCACCGUGCGAAAUAGACGCAUCUAUCAGCUCCGGCGCGCAUAUUUGGCCGCUGCCUGUUAAGCACAGAUGUCUUCCGUCACGUUCAUCGCCGCUCGCAUGCACCUUGAAUAUCGUGUAACGCUCCCCAUUUGACGCCCCUUUGCAACACGUAGGGAUUCAAGGAGCGUCACGUUUCAUGUGACGUUUACGGCCGGCCCCACAGAAACGAAUGAGGACCGCCUCUUUGCCGGCGCCCAGAGCCGCUACGGCAGCUUCAUCGCUGGCGUGAAUACCGCCGGCCAGGGGAUAGUAAUUAUGCAGAUUGACGAUGUCAUCCUCGGCAGGCUGGAGAGCAGCCACGCGUUCGGCCACCGCGUGACGUUCGCCAAUGUGGAUGCAGCUUCCCUGCCGCCUUUCAUAACUUCUCGUUUCGCUGGGGUGACGGUGGGGCAGUUUAAAGUCUCCUCAGCGACGCGGAUUUCCGUGGAGCCCUCCUCCGCUGUCCCAAUGCUCUACAGCGCCAGGCUUCGGUUCCCCGUUUACGAUGUCGGCAGUGACAGGGCUCGCCCCGAAGACAAGCACGCGUCAGAUGGCAGCGCCCUCCUGCUCAUCCCACACGGCGGGAUGUUCCGGGGCGGGCCGUUCCGCAAGUUUAAGGCGUGNGUCGCGUGCGGCAACGGUGACAGUCCCGACGCCGGACGCGUGGAGCUCGCCAUCAGGGAAUCCGCUCCCGACGACUUCGUCGCUCAGCUACAAGCAGCGGCCGAUAGCAGCACGCCCCUUUACGUGUAUGNNNNNNNNNNNNNNNNNNNNNNNNNNNNNNNNNNNNNNNNNNNNNNNNNNCCACGCCUGCCGUUUAGGCUACUGCACCUCCCAACCCCACUGCCGUCGCUGCCACUGCUGCUGUGUUGCUAAUUCCCGCCGCCGCCGUGCCUGCCGUUUAGGCUACUGCACCUCCCAGCCCCAACGCCGUCGCUGCCGCUGUUGCUGUGUUGCUAUUUCCCGCCGCCGCCACGCCUGCCGUUUAGGCUACUGCACCUCCCAACCCCACUGCCGUCGCUGCCACUGCUGCUGCGUUGCUAUUUCCCGCCGCUGCCGCGCCUGCUGGACUUGCAUUUCUGGACUGGCGAGAAUUUUGAAAAUUUUGUUUCACCGAAAUGGCAUCCCUGGAUCACACUUGCGAUUUAUUGUAUGUGCUGCUACUACUACUACUACUACUACUUGUAUGUAUAUAGUAGUACUGGUACUACCCUUUAGUAUAAUAGUAGUAGGUAUAUAGUCAGAGAAAGAAAAAUGACUUCCAUGCCAGAGUUGAACUGGCAGCCACAGCAAUACCAAAAUAGUGUUUGUAUGUUCUCUGUGGCUACAUCACUUGGAAGAGAGUGAAAAGAGAAAAGAUUGGAUGGCCAAUUGGAUGUGGCCCAUUUUUGUAAAAUAAAGGCCCUCCCUAAUGCACCUCCCAGCCCCAACGCCGUCGCUGCCGCUGCUACUCCGUUGCUAAUUCCCACCGCCGCCGUGCCUGCUGUUGAGAGUAAUGGCCCUCCCAGCCCCACCUUCGUCGCUGCCACUGCUGCUGGGUUGCUAAUUCCCGCCGCCGCCGCGCCUGCCGUUUAGGCUACUGCACCUCCCAGCCCCAACACUGUCGCUGCCGCUGCUGCUGCGUUGCUAUUUCCUGCCACCGCCGUGCCUGCCAUUUAGGCUACUGCACCUCCCAGCCCCAACGCAGUCGCUGCCGCUGCUACUCCGUUGCUAAUUCCCCCAGCCGCCACGCCUGCCAUUUAGGCUACUGCACCCCACCAGCAUGCCUGCCGUUAAGGCUACUGCACCUUCCAAUCCCACCUUCACGCCGCCACUGCUGCUGCGUUGCUAAUUCCCGCCGCCGCCGCGCCUGCCGUUUAGGCUACUGCACCUCCAACCCCACCGCCGUCGCUGCCACUGCUGCUGCGUUGCUAAUUCCCACCGCCGCCACGCCUGCCGUUUAGGCUACUGCACCUCCCAGCCCCACUGCCGUCGCUGCCACUGCUGCUGUGUUGCUAAUUCCCGACGCCGCCACGCCUGCCGUUUAGGCUACUGCACCUCCCAACCCCACUGCCGUCGCUGCCACUGCUGCUGUGUUGCUAAUUCCCGCCGCCGCCGUGCCUGCCAUUUAGGCUACUGCACCUCCCAGCCCCAACGCCGUCGCUGCUGCUGCUGCUGCAUUGCUAUUUCCUGCCACCGCCGCGCCUGCCAUUUAGGCUACUGCACCUCCCAGCCCCACCUUCGUCGCGGCCGCUGCUACUCCUUUGCUAAAUCCUGCCGCCGCCGCGCCUGCUGCUGCGUUGCUAAUUCCCCCCGCCGCCGCGCCUGCCGUUUAGGCUACUGCACCUCCCAGCCCCACUGCCGUCGCUGCCACUGCUGCUGCGUUGCUAAUUCCCACCGCCGCCACGCCUGCCGUUUAGGCUACUGCACCUCCCAACCCCACUGCCGUCGCUGCCACUGCUGCUGCGUUGCUAAUUCCCACGCCGCCACGCCUGCCGUUUAGGCUACUGCACCUCCCAACCCCACUGCCGUCGCUGCCACUGCUGCUGUGUUGCUAAUUCCCGGCGCCGCCGUGCCUGCCG